This 263-nucleotide long non-coding RNA is filed under the name Prunus persica (peach). Its description in RNAcentral is "long non-coding RNA (PPER_LNC005236)". The record is from RNAcentral. Lineage: Eukaryota; Viridiplantae; Streptophyta; Magnoliopsida; Rosales; Rosaceae.
GGAGUUUUACUUUUUCUGCUUUCUUUCAUUUGAUAUAGUCAUUCUUCAUGACUAGAGUUUAUCACAUUCCAAGAAUCUGGGAAAUAAAGUCCUAAUUUCCUAAGAGUUUCUUGCAGCCCGGUCUUCUUAGUAGAAAUCUCUUGUUGAAGAAGAAUCCCUUGAUGGAGAGAGGCUUCUGCAAUCUCCAAUGCCAGCCUAGAAGCCGCUACCAUGUUCUGCACAAGGAAAGUGGCCUUGGUCUUAAUGCCUAGUCCAGCCCCGAG